UACGUAGGGUGCAAGCGUUGUCCGGAAUUACUGGGCGUAAAGGGCUCGUAGGCGGCCAACUAAGUCGGACGUGAAAUCCCUCAGCUUAACUGGGGAACUGCGUCCGAUACUGGAUGGCUUGGAUUUGGGAGAGGGAUGCGGAAUUCCAGGUGUAGCGGUGAAAUGCGCAGAUAUCAGGAGGAACACCAAUUGCGAAGGCAGCUCGCUGGGACGUUACUGACGCUGAGACGCGAAAGCGUGGGGAGCAAACAGG
RNAcentral lists this ribosomal RNA (253 nucleotides) under uncultured bacterium. RNAcentral describes it as "partial 16S ribosomal RNA". It matches the Rfam family "Bacterial small subunit ribosomal RNA", at positions 524 to 776 of the family's 1533-position model. The record is from RNAcentral.